This is a non-coding RNA of Schistosoma margrebowiei, 45 nucleotides long. Lineage: Eukaryota; Metazoa; Platyhelminthes; Trematoda; Strigeidida; Schistosomatidae. The record is from Rfam.
AUUCAGCUGACGAGUCCCAAACAGGACGAAACGCGCGUCCUGGAU